CUCUCGAACUAUAGGGUUUCCAUCUCCGAAACCUCCCUCUUCAGCUCUCCCCCUUAGGGUUUCAAUUUCAUCCCAAUAAUGUACAUAAAGGAGAUCUGCUUGGAGGGCUUCAAAUCCUACGCCACUCGCACGGUCUUCCCUGGCUUCGAUCCCUACUUCAAUGCCAUCACGGGCCUUAAUGUUGGGCAUUACCAAUUUGCAGCAGGUCCGCUUCCAAUCUCCAGGAGCUGGUCCAUAACAAAGGCCAAGCUGGGAUUACUAAGGCCACCGUGUCGGUGGUGUUCGAUAAUUCUGAUAGGAGUCGGAGUCCGCUCGGCUACCAGGAUUGUCCAGAUAUUACGGUAACACGGCAGAGCCUAGACUACUUGAAGAGGCACAUGCCAGCCGUUGGUUUAUUUGUCUAUGGACGGUAAAUUCCUUGUUUACUGCAAACUGAGAUAAUGUACUUGUUUUGAGGAAUGUCGAACUCCCUGAUUGGUGUUGAGGGAGAUAUUCAAGCGGUUCACUUGCCACACAUUCGUUUUUCUUUUAAAAAUCUUAAACAGAACAUGAAUAAAUAGUCUGAAAUAAGCUCUUAUCUCUUA
Molecule: long non-coding RNA, 584 nt
Organism: Vitis riparia (riverbank grape)
Lineage: Eukaryota; Viridiplantae; Streptophyta; Magnoliopsida; Vitales; Vitaceae
Exons: 2
Source: RefSeq, a predicted model, not a curated record